GCUGCUGCCCCCGCCUCGCAGGCUGCUGGGUUUGGUCUCGGGUGGCUUUUUUUGUGUGUGUGUGUUUUUCUUUUUGUUAUUAUUUUUCUCGUCCGUCUCGCUCUCGCUCCAGCCAAGGUGAAUGGCCCGCGGUGGGUGUAGCUGGCCUCAGCGGCUCCGCAAGGGGAAAAUGCUGGCGGUGGGGGUGCUGGCCGGCCUCUCGGUGCUCAGCCUCCUCACCUACGGCUACCUGUCCUGGGACAGCCUCGGACGCGGCCACGGAGAGGCGCCGGCAGCGCUGGGAGAAGAGCCGGGGGUCGGCACCCCCAGCUCGCAGCCGCACAUCGUCUUCAUCCUGGCUGACGAUCAGGGCUUCAGAGAUGUAGGGUACCACGGCUCGGAGAUCAGGACGCCCACUCUGGACAAGCUAGCUGCUGAAGGGGUUAAACUGGAGAACUAUUAUGUUCAGCCUAUGUGCACACCAUCCAGAAGCCAGUUUAUCACUGGAAAGUACCAGAUACACACCGGCCUUCAGCACUCCAUUAUACGGCCAACCCAGCCCAACUGCCUACCUCUGGAUAACGUCACGCUACCUCAGAAGCUGAAGGAGGUUGGUUAUUCAACACACAUGGUUGGCAAAUGGCACUUGGGGUUUUAUCGCAGAGAAUGCAUGCCCACACAGAGAGGAUUUGACACUUUCUUUGGCUCACUCUUAGGCAGCGGUGACUACUACACUCACUUCAAAUGUGACAGCCCUGGAAUAUGUGGCUAUGACCUGUACGAGAAUGAUAACGCAGCUUGGGAUCACGACAAUGGCAUCUACUCCACACAGAUGUACACGCAAAAAGUACAACAAAUAUUAGCUUCUCACAAUCCCAGGAAACCUAUAUUCUUAUAUAUUGCUUACCAAGCUGUUCAUUCGCCUCUUCAGGCACCAGGAAAAUAUUUUGAACAUUAUCGAUCCAUAAAUAACAUAAACAGGCGAAGAUAUGCUGCGAUGCUAGCUUGUUUGGAUGAAGCCAUAAACAACGUAACCCUUGCUUUAAAGAAGUAUGGUUACUAUGACAAUAGCAUUAUCAUAUAUUCUUCAGAUAACGGUGGGCAGCCAAUGGCUGGAGGAAGUAACUGGCCUCUCCGAGGGAGCAAAGGAACAUACUGGGAAGGAGGUAUCCGUGCUGUUGGGUUUGUCCAUAGCCCCCUUCUGAAAAACAAAGGGUCUGUGUGUAAGGAGCUUGUGCACAUCACAGACUGGUUCCCCACUUUGAUCACACUGGCCGAAGGACAGAUUGAUGAAGAUAUCCAGCUAGAUGGCUAUGAUAUAUGGGAAACCAUUAGUGAAGGCAGACGUUCUCCACGGGUAGACAUCUUACACAACAUUGACCCAAUUUACACCAAAGCCAAAAAUGGGUCUUGGGCAGCUGGCUAUGGGAUCUGGAACACUGCAAUUCAAUCUGCCAUCAGAGUGAAUCAUUGGAAACUACUGACAGGAAAUCCAGGCUAUAGUGACUGGGUUCCUCCGCAGGCCUUUAGCAACAUGGGCCCCAACCGCUGGCAUAAUGAACGUGUUUCUUGGUCAGCUGGCAAAACUGUGUGGCUUUUCAACAUAACUGCUGAUCCAUACGAACGAGUGGACCUCUCUGCAAAGUAUCCUGAUGUAGUGAAGCAGCUGUUGAGGAGGCUUUCACAGUUUAAUAAGACUGCAGUUCCUGUUCGGUACCCACCUAAGGACCCACGGAGUAACCCAAAGCUGAAUGGAGGAGUCUGGGGUCCAUGGUUUAAAGAGGAUGAAAAGAAGAAGAAGUCAGAUAAAAGUAAAGGUGCUAAUAAGCAAAAAAAGAACAAGAACAAGAAAAAAGCAAAUCGGAAAAAAGGACAAUCAUUACAUUGCCGAUCACGUCUUGCUGGUGGAUAGACUUUGAGCAUACUUGUUUUUGCCAAGCCUAAGACAGCUUGGCCCAACUUCCCUGAAUUCUGACAGAAUAUACCAGAAAUGCCUGCUCUGCACUAUGGAGGAAAGCUGUCAUGUUUUAAUUUGUUCUCAAAUUUCACUAGGAUGAGAUAUUUUGACACUCUGUAUCAAACAUACAUAAACAUCCAUGUGACAGACUUUCUCCUCUACAGGAAGAAUGGUGCUCUUCCAUCACAGCUACAUUCCAGAUAAGAACACAAUUACUCCUAGCUUCAGAAGGCCCAUUUUUGAUGGACAAAUGAUUGUUCCUUGCCUGAAUUAGUUAGAAUUUUUUGAGAGUCUGGAAUGGCAGAUGAUUCAUAGAGAGAAAGAAAAAACAAAGCUUGAAAACUUCUGUAGGUCUGAGAGUGUUAGCCACCAACCUGUGACAUUUUUUGAUAAAACAUAGCAGAAAUUGAAGCCAACAGUAUCUUUUUUGGGGUUGCUGGGGAGAGGAACACGAUAGUAGGAAAGCUGCUUUGAAUUAGACAGUGUCUCUCCUAGGUAAACCGAAAAUAUUUUUAAAUUUCCUAAAUGUGCUAACCUUUCCUCAUUUGUAGUAAAACCAGAAAGUUGUUAUCAGCACACAUGAAUAACUAGCACAUGCCAUGUAUAAUUUAUUAUAGGCAUAAGCAAAAGCACAUCACCAAAGUGAAUGUAAUAUUUAAACACUUUAAGAUAUCUAUAUUACAGUACAUGCAAGACGUAAUUUAUUUUACAGCACAAUACUUUCUUCUUUUCCAUUAAAACUUUAAUUAGUGGGUGAUGCAAGGGUUGUUUAUUUGUUUUUCUUUUGAUUUUUAAUUUUAUUUUCACUUGGUCAUUCAGAGUUUUAUUCAACAGAUCCACAUCCUCAGAGUACUGUAAAACAAGGAAAUGCUGUAGACACUGCUAGGAUGAGAGAGGAGAGUGAUUCAGGCAAAAUGAGAGUCUUUGAAUGCAAACAGUGCAAAGCAGAACAGUGGAUCAGUUCUUGCAUGAAAUAUAUGUGCCAAAAUGCCUUGUUAUUUCAGAGACAAGCUGGCAUGAAAAAUGAGUGAAUGAAUGGAACGGGGUAGCAAAGAAGAGAUUCAGAUUCCACUAAUGGAAAGUUUUGGAAUAGAAGGGAUUGAGAGACACUGCCAUAGUUUGCUUAAAAAUGAGACAGAGCAUUUUCAUUACUCCUGAAGGCUUUUAUUCAAGACAUACAAAAGCUGACAUUGAGAAGAUGGAAGCAGCAAUGCAACCAGAGUCCCAUUUCCACAUUCUGAAGUAAAGAGGCAAUCUUGCAUCAUGGAUGAAUUUAUUCCUUUACAGAUGGGUGGUAGUGGGUUUUCCAUUCUGUGUACUGCCAACUUUCUCCAAGAUUUAUGUCACCUAAUGACAAUGAGAGUACAUCUAGCUACAAGCAGCUUUCUGUAUAACCUGCUGAUCAGUGUUUUUCCUGUGGUACGACAGACUAAGCUCUCCUAUUGGAUCUUCUCUGAGUGCUUAUUGCACACAUGGUGGAACAAGUGCAGCAAGGGAUUGAGCAAGAGAGCUUCCCCGUGGGAAGAAAACAUGCCCUAAGACAGACCUUUCAGCGGCUUCAUCUCGGCUCUUUCCAACUUGGUGAAGACCUGGGGUGGCUGCAGCUGGCCCCCGUUUCUAGAGAUGGCAGCUGGGGGUCUCAACCAGAAGGUGCUUGGGAGGAAGCUGCUCCUGCAGAAGGCACAAAGACACACCUUGAACGACAAUCAGUGCUUGGAAAUGAAAGCAUGUGGGCUACAUUGAGUGAUUCUGCCAUACUGACCAGGUGAUGCUACUGGAGUUACUACCCGCCAAAAUCUUUAUUUAGGAAAGCAACAGCUCCAAUGAGGAAACAGAAGAGGUCCAAAAAAUAAUGUAGUGCUGACCUGACAUCUGUUGCCUCCAGCUCACUUUGGUCUGCUGGAUUUGAGGCCACUCAUGGCAGGAAGAGCAGCUGAGUGUCCCUGUUGCUGCACGCCUCCUGUUCCAAAUUAGUAUUUCUGCAGCAAUAUGUAAAAGCAUCGAGAUCUAUCAAUUACAAAACAAUUUCCUGGCAAGCUCCUAUUAAAAAGCCAUUACAGAAAGCUUAGCCUUGACUUUGAGCUGAAGCCCCCAAGUGGAGCUUUUUGGGAAGAAACUGCUCUUUCUUCCCAUGGGUAACUUUCCCCUUCUGCCACCUCAGAGUGCAUCUUCCCAGCACUGUCUUCAGUUAGUCAUGGGGAAAGCAUGGAUCAUUUUACUCCCAAAGGUGAAAAGGCAGAAGUGCACCCCUUUCAGACUCAGCAGUCACAGUACUUUAAUAUAGCCAGCUAAUGGAGUGCCAAACCAUUACAGUGAACUGCAAACCCAAAUAUCUUAUCCUGUGUGAUUUCUUACUGUUGAUCCUCUUGUCUGUUUUUACACCUCUCUUUGUUCCCAUAUAUUUGUGUGAUAUUCUGAUUAACCUCUCUCCACAUUUUUCCCACUGUCUUCAUAUAUUCAUAUUUCUAUCCACUUUCACAUUGAUCAUUUUUGUUCCUGACACCAAUAACUGUUUGACCUUCUUUCAAUUUCUCUUUACUUACUCCUUCUUCUUAAAAUAACAUUCUCUGUUCCCUGUCCUCUUCCUUUGUUCCGUCUGUGAUUCUCCAUUCCUAUUACAAAACUCAUUUACUGUCCUUUUUCUCAUUUCUCACUAUACAAGCAGUGUAACUCCAUCAGCCACAGUUCUGUUGCAGUGAUUUCCCCUUUCUAUCUGCUGUCUAGCAUCUUUCCCUUCCUCUCUCCCACGCAGCACUUUUCCUUUCUAUUUUGUUUCUAGUUCAGAAUCUCUCUGACUUUCCCACUGUACUCUUACCCACUGCCCUCUUCCUGCUGAUCAUUUUAGCAGAAAUGUUGAAAUUUGUUGUCUUAUUGCACAGAUCUCAGCUUCCUUCAUCCCCUCCGUGUUUGUUAUGUCAAACCCACUGCCACUCUCCAGGUCCGACCAGAGCUGGUUGUCAGGUGCUGUCCAUGCAAGCCUCUCUAGAGCACCACAAGGCAGAGUGACUUUCAUCAUGCUGCUAAGGAGACCAUUGCUUGCCAGUGAGUUCUGCCAAUCUGAGUUCACAUUUUGUAUCAACAAGAUUUGUAUACUUUAUUGUCAUUUCAUAGGCUUUAUUGUCAUAUGCACCUGUAACUCCAUCAAUGUUCACAGUCACUCACCCUGGGGCAGUAAAGCUUUGCCACAGAAAUACUUGAGAAGGACCAUGGCUGCCAUUCAAGACCAUCUGGUACUAAACAGUAUGUCUCUAAACCCAUGUUUACCCAGGUAUCAAUCGAGGCCGUUUUCUAUCUAGACCUCUGCUGUAAGUGGCCACUCAAUUUGUCCAUAAGAUAAAUGUACAGUAUUCCUAGCAGAGCUCAUAAUGAGUGUACAUGAAUGACCUUUCAAAAGCUCUCUGACUCCUUCAAAACACAAGCAGAGAGAAAGUCUGUAUUUGCAAGAUCAGAAAUAAAAUGAAAACCUCACUUUGACUGAAUAAAAAAGCCAUAUACAGGAAAGCCCUUGAUGAAUAGCAUACUUUUAACAAAAAUACCAUUUCCUUUGCCACAAUAAAUGUUGUUUCAGAUUCUGAAAUUAAGUGCUUGUUCCACUGAGCUGUAACAUUUUGUUAAGCUGCAGAGACGUUAGAGGAACAACUAUUCCGUUUCUUACAGACUUCAGCUAUUUACAAUUCUCUUUUAAUAUUUCUUUUUCUGGAGGAGAGAAACACGUUCUAGGAUUUUCUCUAAGCCUGUUUUGGUUCAUUAUGGAGGUCUGACUUUCUGCAUCCACUAAAGCAACCACUGAUGAACUACUUUUGCGGCCUUAGGGAAACCUGAACCUGGAGCCAGCUUUUAGAAUUCACCGGCAGGCCCAGGUCCUUGGCUGCCGUGGCAGAGGCUCUGCUCCUCUCAGAAAGUUUGGAGGAUUUAUGGAGGACUUAAGUAGCAGCUACAAAUCAUGGUUCUGUUUCAGCUCAAGAGUGAACUGCAUUUAAGGGAGCAUUGUUGUAACAAGAAGAAAACUUCCCAGCUCAAGUGUUUCCAAGCUAUUAAUCAUUUCCCAAGUAUCUGUCCCCCUGGAAAUUCUCCAAGUCCUUAUGAUACUGCUCUCAUAAACAAUUAUUUUCUUUCCUGAACUCCUGUAAUAAAAUUCAUACUGGAUGUUGCUCUUAGGA
Non-coding RNA from Meleagris gallopavo (turkey), 6096 nucleotides. The record is from RefSeq and is a predicted model, not a curated record. Lineage: Eukaryota; Metazoa; Chordata; Aves; Galliformes; Phasianidae.